RNAcentral lists this non-coding RNA (30 nucleotides) under Mus musculus (house mouse). Lineage: Eukaryota; Metazoa; Chordata; Mammalia; Rodentia; Muridae. The record is from RNAcentral.
GGACCUGAGAUAAAGAAAAUGGGCUCCUCA